RNAcentral lists this non-coding RNA (121 nucleotides) under Gordonia effusa. RNAcentral's name for it is "TPP sequence". It matches the Rfam family "TPP riboswitch aptamer (THI element)". Rfam says of the family: Vitamin B(1) in its active form thiamin pyrophosphate (TPP) is an essential coenzyme that is synthesised by coupling of pyrimidine and thiazole moieties in bacteria. The previously detected thiamin-regulatory element, thi box was extended, resulting in a new, highly conserved RNA secondary structure, the THI element, which is widely distributed in eubacteria and also occurs in some archaea. Analysis of operon structures identified a large number of new candidate thiamin-regulated genes, mostly transporters, in various prokaryotic organisms. RNAcentral also lists the same sequence under 1 other name. The record is from RNAcentral. Lineage: Bacteria; Bacillati; Actinomycetota; Actinomycetes; Mycobacteriales; Gordoniaceae.
ACGGGAGUCCGAGGGUGCCGAAAGCGGGCACGGGCUGGACUGAGAGUGCGGACCUUCUAUCCGCUGACCGUUACAACCUGAUCCGGGUCAUGCCGGCGAAGGGAGGAAUCACAUCAUGAAU